Sander lucioperca (pikeperch) is the source of this 144-nucleotide long non-coding RNA. RefSeq lists it as uncharacterized. The record is from RefSeq and is a predicted model, not a curated record. Lineage: Eukaryota; Metazoa; Chordata; Actinopteri; Perciformes; Percidae. The transcript has 4 exons.
CUCUCAAUGCCCUGCGGGCUUGUAAUUGGUGCUGAAAACUUGAUGUAAUAAAUCUUUAUAUACAAUCAAGACAGCGUCGGCGAAUUUCUCUUCAGACACAUCAUCACAUCAUCGCUACUCAAGAUACAACACAGAAAACCUGAA